RNAcentral lists this ribosomal RNA (428 nucleotides) under uncultured bacterium. RNAcentral's name for it is "bacterial SSU rRNA". It matches the Rfam family "Bacterial small subunit ribosomal RNA", at positions 355 to 774 of the family's 1533-position model. The record is from RNAcentral.
UGGGGAAUAUUGCGCAAUGGGCGAAAGCCUGACGCAGCGACGCCGCGUGGGUGAUGAAGGCCUUCGGGUCGUAAAGCCCUGUCGGGAGGGACGAAACCUCGGUGACCUAAUACGUCACCGACCUGACGGUACCUCUUAAGGAAGCACCGGCUAACUCCGUGCCAGCAGCCGCGGUAAUACGGAGGGUGCGAGCGUUGUUCGGAAUUACUGGGCGUAAAGCGUGCGCAGGCGGUUUUGUAAGACAGAUGUGAAAUCCCCGGGCUUAACCUGGGAACUGCACUUGUGACUGCAUGACUAGAGUGCGUCAGAGGGAGGUGGAAUUCCGCGUGUAGCAGUGAAAUGCGUAGAGAUGCGGAGGAACACCGAUGGCGAAGGCAGCCUCCUGGGAUGACACUGGCGCUCAUGCACGAAAGCGUGGGGAGCAAACA